GCUCCAGUGGUGUAGUCCGGUCAAGCAUACUGCCCUUUCAAGGCAGUGAUCCCGGGUUCAAAUCCCGGCUGGAGCA
Molecule: transfer RNA, 76 nt
Filed under: Candidatus Nitrosopumilus sp.
Lineage: Archaea; Thermoproteati; Nitrososphaerota; Nitrososphaeria; Nitrosopumilales; Nitrosopumilaceae
Description: Nitrosopumilus sp. tRNA-Glu
Rfam family: tRNA
About the family: Transfer RNA (tRNA) molecules are approximately 80 nucleotides in length.
Source: RNAcentral